This 484-nucleotide ribosomal RNA is filed under the name uncultured bacterium. RNAcentral's name for it is "partial 16S ribosomal RNA". The stretch from base 52 to 484 matches the Rfam family "Bacterial small subunit ribosomal RNA", at positions 39 to 507 of the family's 1533-position model. The record is from RNAcentral.
GGGGGGGGGGGGGGGGGGGGGGGGCGGGGGCGGGGCGGGCGGGGGGGGGGGGCGGGGGCCGGGAGGCGGCGGCGGGCGGGUGAGUAAGGCCUAGGAAGCUGCCGGGGAGGGGGGGAUAACGUCCGGGAACGGGCGCUAAUACCGCAUACGUCCUGAGGGAGAGAGUGGGGGAUCUUCGGACCUCACGCUAUCAGAUGAGCCUAGGUCGGAUUAGCUAGUUGGUGGGGGAAAGGCCUACCAAGGCGACGAUCCGUAACUGGUCUGAGAGGAUGAUCAGUCACACUGGAACUGAGACACGGUCCAGACUCCUACGGGAGGCAGCAGUGGGGAAUAUUGGAGAAUGGGCGAAAGCCUGAUCCAGCCAUGCCGCGUGUGUGAAGAAGGUCUUCGGAUUGUAAAGCACUUUAAGUUGGGAGGAAGGGCAGUAAGUUAAUACCUUGCUGUUUUGACGUUACCAACAGAAUAAGCACCGGCUAACUUCGUG